GAACAACCAACUUCGUGCAUGGGUUUCCCUUUGUGUGCAUUUCUAUUGGCCUUACAAUUGGAAAGGUUCCCACUGUAGGAGUUGUUUACAACCCAAUCUUGAAUCAGCUUUUCACUGGCAUCCAUGGAAAAGGUGCUUUUCUUAAUGGAAACCCCAUAAAAGUAUCUUCCCAAACGGAGCUUGUGAACUCUCUUCUUGCAACAGAGGCUGGAACAAAACGUGAUAAGGCUACUGUGGAUGCUACUACAUACAGAAUUAAUAGUUUGCUUUUCAAGGUGAGAUCCGUUAGGAUGAGUGGCUCCUGUGCGCUUAAUCUU
RNAcentral lists this unclassified non-coding RNA (317 nucleotides) under Hevea brasiliensis (rubber tree). The record is from RNAcentral. Lineage: Eukaryota; Viridiplantae; Streptophyta; Magnoliopsida; Malpighiales; Euphorbiaceae.